This 136-nucleotide microRNA precursor is filed under the name Hordeum vulgare. Its description in RNAcentral is "microRNA MIR1122". It matches the Rfam family "MIR1120/MIR1122 microRNA precursor family". The record is from RNAcentral. Lineage: Eukaryota; Viridiplantae; Streptophyta; Magnoliopsida; Poales; Poaceae.
CUUAUAUUCCCUUCAUUCCAAAAAAUUUGUCUUAGAUUUGUCUAAAUAUGAAUGUAUCUAGUCACGUUUUAGUAUUUAAAUACAUCAAUUUUUAAACAAAACUAAGACAAGAAUUUUAAAACGGAGGGAGUAUUUA